AGUUGAAAAUUUAAUUGUGAUAUGUUUUUGAUAAAUUCAAUUCAUAAUAGGAAACUCCUAAAAAUAGCAGAUGAUUGGUAACCUUUCCUAAAGAGAGGAAACUCAAAAUCUACUUUUAUCAAUAUUUAUGUUGUUUCCGGAAAUUAUUCGAUAGAGAAGUGUAGUGACCAGGCUUCUGGUUUUUAUUUGAUCAGAGAAAGCCAAAUUACAGAGUAAUACCUCUAUUUCUUCGAAUUUUGGUUGCUCUUAGAACCCAUUUCCCACACCUUACUGAAUCAGAGAGAGAGACAGAGAGGUGAGAUUCAGAGAGAGAGAGAGAGUGUGUGAGGGCUGCUUACAGUUAUUUUUGUUGUACGUAGAUGGAAGAGACAAUGGUCGAUGAGACAGGGUUAGAUGAAGAAGAGCAAAGGAAAAAGUUAUUAGGAGGAGAGGUGAACGUUGGAAUCUACUGAGAAAGGUGAAUGGUGGGAA
Molecule: long non-coding RNA, 471 nt
Organism: Rhododendron vialii
Lineage: Eukaryota; Viridiplantae; Streptophyta; Magnoliopsida; Ericales; Ericaceae
Exons: 3
Source: RefSeq, a predicted model, not a curated record